Molecule: transfer RNA, 68 nt
Filed under: Actinopyga echinites
Lineage: Eukaryota; Metazoa; Echinodermata; Holothuroidea; Aspidochirotida; Holothuriidae
Description: tRNA-Glu
Source: RNAcentral
GUCCUUCUAGUUUACCAAAAUUGUGGCUUUUCAAGCCACAGAGCUGAGUGAAAGCCUCAGGAAGGGCA